Cyanistes caeruleus (blue tit) is the source of this 689-nucleotide non-coding RNA. NCBI's taxonomy places the organism in Eukaryota, Metazoa, Chordata, Aves, Passeriformes, Paridae. The record is from RefSeq and is a predicted model, not a curated record.
CUCAGCCCCUGCCCCUGCAGCAGGGAGGGAGCAGGGCCAGCCCCAGCACCCCCCCACACACAUGGGGCACUCCUGGGUUGGCCCAGGCCACUUGUGCCAGCAGCAAUUGGGGCCUGUCCCACCCACCAGCACUGCUAUAAAUCCAGCCUGUUUGGGGCAAAGCAGCAUUCCCUGGCCCCAAGGGCAUCUGGACACAGCCAUUCCUGGUGGGUUUGCUGCUGCCUCAACACCCUGACCUUCUCCAGGCAGCCCUGUGAAGACCCAGGAGAGGCAGCAGCCAUGAAGAUCCUGUUCCUGCUCUUCCCCCUGAUCCUCCUGUUGGCCCAGGGUGCUGCAGGCAGUGCAAAUAGCUGCUGGAAACAACGGGGCUUCUGCACUAGGCGUAUUUGCCCCCGGGGUACAAGUUUCGCGGGAAGAUGCUCACCUGGCCUUGCGUGCUGCAAAAGUCGCUGGGCUUGAAACCCUGAAAUUCCCAAGCAGGACUUGCCCCUCGCUUCUGGCUGCUGGACCCAUCUCCUGAUGUCCCCUCCCAUCCCUGCCUGUACCAUGCCCAGCUGGGGUGACAGCAGCAGUGGCAGCUGCUCCUGCUGGGUGCUGCUGGGCUGGAGCCCUGUGGUGCCAGCCCCGCUGUCUUUGGGGCAGGGGCUGCUUUUCCCAGCUUGAAUAAAGACGAGCACUUUGGCAUUGCA